UGGCGGACGGGUGAGUAAUGUCUGGGAAACUGCCUGAUGGAGGGGGAUAACUACUGGAAACGGUAGCUAAUACCGCAUAACGUCGAAAGACCAAAGAGGGGGGACCUUCGGGCCUCUUGCCAUCGGAUGUGCCCAGAUGGGAUUAGCUUGUUGGUGGGGUAAUGGCUCACCAAGGCGACGAUCCCUAGCUGGUCUGAGAGGAUGACCAGCCACACUGGAACUGAGACACGGUCCAGACUCCUACGGGAGGCAGCAUG
This 257-nucleotide ribosomal RNA is filed under the name uncultured bacterium. Its description in RNAcentral is "partial 16S ribosomal RNA". It matches the Rfam family "Bacterial small subunit ribosomal RNA", at positions 96 to 353 of the family's 1533-position model. The record is from RNAcentral.